Molecule: long non-coding RNA, 6242 nt
Filed under: Sus scrofa (pig)
Lineage: Eukaryota; Metazoa; Chordata; Mammalia; Artiodactyla; Suidae
Description: lncRNA (ENSSSCG00060029505.1)
Source: RNAcentral
AAAUCUCUCUCAGCUGUCCGCUCCACUUUUUGAUUGAGGAAACAGUCCUAGAGAGCUUAGAGAAGCUGCCCCAGGCUGCCAAGUUCACUACAGAGCCAGGGUAGAUUCCCCAGCUCUACCUUCUUUCCACUUUGCUGUCUUCUUAUAAAGUAAAUUGAAUCUCAAUGGGAUUAUAAAUUUACCUGCUGAAACCAGCCACAGCUACUCAGACUGCUUCCUGCCUCAACAAUCUUCCAUUCUGGUCUUCUGCUAGAUAGAAGAGAUAAAAAAUUGUAAUACUUAAAAAAUAACACGUAUGUAGUCUAUUUACUUUAUGUUAAUAAUAAUUACUAACUUUUUUCAGUGUCUGUUAUGUACCGGACACUAUGCUAAAAUCUUUACAGAAAUUACUUAAUUUUCAUAAUCAUUUUAUAUAGCAAUGUUGGAGUUGCUGUCAUAGCUCAGCGGUUAUGAACCCAACUAGUAUCCACAAGAAUGCGGAUUUGAUCCCUGGCCUUGCUCAGUGGGUUAAGGAUCUGGCAUUGCCAUGAGCUGUGGUGUAGGUUGCUGAUGUGGCUCGGAUUUGGUGUUGCUGGGGCUGAGGGAUAGGUCGGCAGCUGCAGCUCUGAUUAGACCCAGAGCCUGGGAACUUUGAUGUGCCGCCAGUGUAGCGCUAAAAAGACCAAAAAAGAAAAUUUACCCGAUGUUAAUGCUAUGAGAUACUUUCCCCAUUUUUCAAGGUGACAAAGUGAAGCUCAAGGGAUUUAUGACUUCUCCACAAUUACUGAACUAGUCAAAGACACUACCUGAACUCAAGUUUCCUGACUCCCAGCAUAGAUUUUCUUUUCCUCUCAUCCAUUGCCUCUGGGCACCUUUGGUGCAAAACUCAUGUUCAUUUGGCAAAAAUACCCUAUUUAAGUGAUUUAGAUAAAUGAAUCAGCCCCUUUUCACCAACUAGGCAGAAAAGACAGCUUUUUCUAAUGGAAAGGGAGAUGGAAGGGCUCUGAAGGGGGAGCUGAGGGAUGACUACACUGACUGUUCCCUGAAAUAAAAAAAACUUGAAGAAUGAACAGUAAACAAAGAGUCACUUAGAACAUAUACUAUUUCAGCAAGUGGUAUGAACACUGAGUGAGCAGGAAGGGAAAGGAGAGCCUACAUGUUUGAGGAAAGUUGAGAGAUUACUGAAUUUGGCCAGGCAACAUAUAGAUAAAGUUGUUUCCUGACAGUUGCCUCUGUGAGAGCAUCUUCUUCAAGCACAGCUGGAAAAGAAAGUCAAACAAAACCAACAAUGCUAAAAACAACUGCUUUGACUUUAUAUAAGGCCAAAAACCUAGCAAAACUUUAAUGGCUAAACCUUUCAACUUAACCAACUGGUGCUCUACCCAGGAUUCAUUUCCCAAGAGUUUAAUUUUGUGUGCCUGAGAAUAACUUGCUUCACUGAAAUGUGUAACUGGGGGUAAAUGUCAGUCAUAACUGAUAUCCUCUUCAAACUUUUUAACUUCAAUUGUUUCUGAGUCUGUUAAAUGUCUGCUAGAAGACCAGACCAACCAAAACCUAGAUGUGGUGAACUUGAAACCAGUGUGUGCUUUAAAACCAAACCUAACUGAAAUCAUAUGUCUAUCUUUUAUGUAUGCACAGUAGAUUGUGUAAUUAGACCCAUUUAUGUCCAACUCAUUAUGCCCUCCUCCACCAUUAUCUAUCUCUUCUUUCUUUGUGAUAAUUUAACAUUUUGUAAUUAAAUGGCAGGAGAAUAAAAUACUAAAAAAUUAUCAUGUGGUCAGGGUAGAAUGUAUCUCUGUCAGACUUUACUAUUUCAAUUUGCAUAAUAGUAACUGCUUCAAUUCUGCCUAAUUAAAAAGAAAAUCCAUUUUUGAGAAAAGCUUUUAUAUGCAAACAAAGCUGGAACUUCCAUUUGGACUCAGCAAUUGAACUCCUCUCACCUCAGGAAUGAGCUUCAGACUGUAAACUUAAGAUGUUUGGUUGAGUCUAUGAGUCACUACUGUCCAUGAGUCCUCCUAUUCUAGCAGAUUUUGUGAGGUUAUCACAUGUACAUGACAUGUAUGUGUGUACAAAUGUCCAUAUCAGAACAUUCUCACAUGAGCAGAUGCACACCCCCAUAUAUAUAUGCAAUUAUACACGUUCUUUCAAUCAUUUUGUAAAUAUUUAUUAUCUACUAUGUGCUAGGUUGUGGUCUAGGCAUUGAGGAUACAAUAGCAAGACUGGCAAAAUUCCUGCUUCUGUGAUGCUUAUAGUCCAGUGAGAAAGACAGGAAAUAAAUAAAAUGUUUAUGAUGUCAUACAUGUUUAUAUCAUAGAACAUGUAUAUAUAUAGUGUGUGUAUAUGUGUGCAUGCAUGUAUGUGUAGGCGUGUGCACAUAUAUGUUCCUGUGUGUAUAAACAUGCUUGUAUUUAUAUGUCUAUGUGCAUGCGUGUUUAUACACACAUGAACAUACAAUGGUUCAGCUUAAUAAUUUUGUGAGUUUAUCAUAGUGCAAAAGUGAUACAUAUUUAGUAGAAACUGUACUUUGCAUUUUAAAUUUUGAUCUUUUCCUGGGCUAGCCAUCGGUAUUAUGUGCUAUCUUAUGAUGUUGAACAGAAGCAAGCUGAAGCUCCCUGUCAGUCAUGUGAUCGCGUAGGUAAACAACUGAUGCACUUAUAUACCAAUUCCACACCCAUGUGACCAUUCUGUUUUUCACUUUCAGUACAGUAUUUGAUAAAUUACGUAAGAUAUUCAACACUUGAUUAUAAAAUAGGCUUUGUGUUAGAUGAGUUGCCCAACUUCAGGCUAAAGCAAAUGUUCUGAGCACAUUCAAGGUAGGCAAGACUAAGCUUUGAUGUUUUUAGUAGGUUAAAUGUACUUGAUGCAUUUUUUAUUCAUGAUAUUUUUUACUGGAUGAAUUUAUUGGGACAAAAUCCCAUUGUAAGUUGGAGAUGAUCUAUACACAUUUGCACUUUUCCAAGUCAAUUUAAGACAAAAUGGAAAAUUUGCUGAAGUUACAUGUGCUCCAGAAUUGGUAGGGUCAGAUUUUGACACCAAGUAGUAUUGUUAUAGGGUCCUUAUGUUCAUUUGCUUGCUCUCCUUGCCUCGUGGAGUUAUCAGGACCAAAUUUUAUGACAGCUGUGAAAUUAUGAUUCCACCUGCCCUGCUACAUUACUAAAGAGCCUUGGCUUCCCCCCUUGAUUUUUAAUUUUUAGGCUAAUGUUGCUAAAUAGAGCCCUAUGGAUGUUUCUCUCUUCUUAUCACCAGAUUGGGAGUAAAAGGACUGGGCCUCUAAUUCCAUCUCCGUGAUAUACUUGCUCUGUGACUUGGGUGCAUCACCGUAUCUGUCUGGGUCUCAUUUUCCUCAUCUGUUAGAUGAACAGAUGGGAUCACAAUAGCCUCUAAGAUUUCUUCAGGCUGUAACAUCCUUUGCUUCUAACUGGUAUCAUUUACUUGGUACCGUGCUACUCAGGGAGCACAGCAUGUCAUGCCCUCUCAACAUCUCGUAUUCUCUAGAGCAUUGCCCAGUGCAGACGGUACUAUAGCUGAAAUUGUUAUUAGCAGGCUUGCACCAGAAAUGUGACAUCCCCUUCUGUUGUCUGUCACCAGCCUGGACAAAGCACAUAAUUGAAAUAUGAAACUAAAGCUUAGUGUAUCAGAUCUCAGAGAUCUUUUUCCUAACGAGGUAGCAUAGUUGCAUGAUAGAUUCCUCUGUUACAUGCUCCUAAAGUACCCUGUAUUUAUUUUUCAUCAUUUUUGCCACAGUGUAAAUUAUGUAAUUAUUUUGUUGUUUUAUUUAUUGCCAGUCUUGCUUACACUAUAUUUUCCAGAGAAGGGAAUUUGUCUUUUUCACCACCAUAUCAACACAUCUAGCAUAAUGUCUCAGCAAAAUAGAACAUACUCCUAAGCUGUGUUGAAAAAGGAAAUAAAACUUAAUAAUAACCUGAUUUGUCAGUGUGGCAAUAGCAGGCAUAGCUUCUCUCAAAAAGCUUCUGUGGUUACCUCUCAAAGCUUUGCCCUUGGCCUUUGGUAUUUUUCCUGAGCUGAGCCAAUAGCGUAGCUGCUCCUCGGCAGGCCUGGUUUUCUGCAAGCAUUGGUAUCCCAGGAAACUGUGUCAUUGCCACAUGGCUUCAAACAGAGCAUUGAGAUGAUUCGGUGACUUGUAUUCUCCCAGCCUAUUCUGUUUCUGCUGUUCCAUAUUGAACCUGUCCUCACUCACCUGGCUCACAAGAGCUGGAUGCAAGUGCAACUCACUUUACUGACUCUGACACAUAGCCCAGAGCAUCCUUCUUGGUCAAAGAACUUGCCAUUGUAGGUUAUUUCACACACAGGUGACCUCAUUUAAUAUAUCAUCAAUGGAGCCGUACUUGGAGGACAUUUGUCACCAUCCUCAAACUAUCUUUUUAUUACUAGUUUUCAGGCUUUUUCUUCAUCACUCAGUCUUCACAAAUAUAUUGCCCAAAUAGGGCUUAAGGGUAGCUAGAGAUUAAUAUCUUUCUUCCAUGAUGUCAGAAGUGUUCAAUCCUAACCAGACAGGAAGGGAGCAAAAAUUGUGAUUUUCCUACUAUAUGUCAGUCAGUAUGUUAGGUGACUUGGUUAUUCAUCUUGAAAAAAACCAUCUUACCUAUGAUGGUAUCAAACCUGAGUGUCUCCACAGGGACCCAGGCUCCUGCAAUUGGGCCCGUUAACUCACUGCAGGAACUCCCAAACCACCUUUUAGAUUUGACAUGUCAAAUUGAUGAAUAAUGUGCUGAUACAGUGAAAUGGGUAUCACAAAGCACUGAAUCAUUGGCCAACUCCUGGGGGAUCUCUGCACCAACACAAAUCCAAAGGCUAUCAGUAAAAGCCAUUCCUCUGUCCAGUAGGUAUGGGGAAGAAUUGGAAAGAAAACACAGGUUGCAAUUUAAUCCCUGGGAGUAAUUAGAAUUUCAUAGGUUUAAGACAAUAAAUAGUCCAAGUAUUAAUUACCAGGUGUCUAGGCCCUGCAUUUCCUUGCACAACAUCAAUACGAUGGACUUUUUCUAAAUACAUCAGUGGUAAAUAUUCUUCUUGUGGAUCCUUGUUGUAUCUUUAACUACAUCCCUUUUACUUUGAUUUUUAUUCUAAUUUGUAUUAGAGAGGAAACCAAGUGUGUUUGCUGAAAGCCGGGACAUUUAUUCUUCUCUAAUAUUGGGAGGCAUGUUUCAGAAAUAACAUCACGCUCUCAUCAGAUUCCUUCCAAAGAUUAUCAAUAUCAUGAUGAAAGUUACAUUGUCUUCAGCAUCAGAGUGCCAUAUGAAUUACUCAAUAAAACCCAAAGUUCUUCAAUGGCCUUUUGAGUAAUGUUACAAUUACCAAAAGUUAGUAGUUUAUUAGAAAAAAAUAUGGAGUAAACACGUCAAUCAUAGUACUUCAAAGCAUCCAAACAGCAACACAAGUGGCUCAGCACAUUAAGGAUCCAGCAUUGUCACUGCUGUGGCUGGGUUGCUGCUGUGGCAUGAGUUUGAUCCGUGGCUCUGGAACCAUGUAUGAAAUGGGUAUGGGAAAAAAAAUAGUAAUCCAAACAUGGACCAAAAUUUUUCCAAAAUUGUCCUCUCAAAAAUCUCAUCCAGUGGAGAAAUAUAUUGGAAAGUGUGAAUGUCUAGAAAGUUACGUAUUAAUAGUUUUAAGAAUAUGAAUGUACCUUUUGCCAUUAAUGCGCUUUUGUUAACUAUAGAAGAUGUUUUCCUCACUCAGAACAGGUUUUAGGUUGAUGGAGAGGAUAUUUUUAUAUUCAAAGAAGUAGUUUUGACCAAGAUUAAAUAUAACAGUUAUAUUGCCUCAGGAUACUUACCAGGAUGAUUAACAGGAAUUUUUUUGGAGUUCCCGUCGUGGCGCAGUGGUUAACGAAUCCGACUAGGAACCAUGAGGUUGCGGGUUCGGUCCCUUCCCUUGCUCAGUGGGUUAAUGAUCCGGCGUUGCCAUGAGCUGUGGUUAGGUUGCAGACGCGGCUCGGAUCCUGCGUUGCUGUGGCUCUGGUGUAGGCUAGUGGCUAUAGUUCUGAUUGGACCCCUAGCCUGGGAACUCCAUAUGCCGCAAGAGCAGCCCAAGAAAAUGGCAAAAAGACAAAAACAAAAAACAAAAAAACAGGCAUUUUUUUGUUUUUAGUUUUGACAUAGGGCUUUGUUUUCACAUGGACUCUGGAGGUAUACACACAUACAGAGAUACUUAAUGCAACCCUCUAAUUCUCACACCUCUGAAUCCUCUGCAUGGAGCAUAUUCCUUACACUGGGCACAAAGUCUUCUGCAAAAAAAAAAAAAAAAAA